AUUGUGAGCUCGAUGAGUAGGGCGGGACACGUGGUAUCCUGUCUGAAUAUGGGGGGACCAUCCUCCAAGGCUAAAUACUCCUGACUGACCGAUAGUGAACCAGUACCGUGAGGGAAAGGCGAAAAGAACCCCGGCGAGGGGAGUGAAAAAGAACCUGAAACCGUGUACGUACAAGCAGUGGGAGCCUCUUAAUGGGGUGACUGCGUACCUUUUGUAUAAUGGGUCAGCGACUUAUAUUCUGUAGCAAGGUUAACCGAAUAGGGGAGCCGAAGGGAAACCGAGUCUUAACUGGGCGUUAAGUUGCAGGGUAUAGACCCGAAACCCGGUGAUCUAGCCAUGGGCAGGUUGAAGGUUGGGUAACACUAACUGGAGGACCGAACCGACUAAUGUUGAAAAAUUAGCGGAUGACUUGUGGCUGGGGGUGAAAGGCCAAUCAAACCGGGAGAUAGCUGGUUCUCCCCGAAAGCUAUUUAGGUAGCGCCUCGUGAAUUCAUCUCCGGGGGUAGAGCACUGUUUCGGCAAGGGGGUCAUCCCGACUUACCAACCCGAUGCAAACUGCGAAUACCGGAGAAUGUUAUCACGGGAGACACACGGCGGGUGCUAACGUCCGUCGUGAAGAGGGAAACAACCCAGACCGCCAGCUAAGGUCCCAAAGUCAUGGUUAAGUGGGAAACGAUGUGGGAAGGCCCAGACAGCCAGGAUGUUGGCUUAGAAGCAGCCAUCAUUUAAAGAAAGCGUAAUAGCUCACUGGUCGAGUCGGCCUGCGCGGAAGAUGUAACGGGGCUAAACCAUGCACCGAAGCUGCGGCAGCGACACUAUGUGUUGUUGGGUAGGGGAGCGUUCUGUAAGCCUGUGAAGGUGGCCUGUGAGGGUUGCUGGAGGUAUCAGAAGUGCGAAUGCUGACAUAAGUAACGAUAAAGCGGGUGAAAAGCCCGCUCGCCGGAAGACCAAGGGUUCCUGUCCAACGUUAAUCGGGGCAGGGUGAGUCGACCCCUAAGGCGAGGCCGAAAGGCGUAGUCGAUGGGAAACAGGUUAAUAUUCCUGUACUUGGUGUUACUGCGAAGGGGGGACGGAGAAGGCUAUGUUGGCCGGGCGACGGUUGUCCCGGUUUAAGCGUGUAGGCUGGUUUUCCAGGCAAAUCCGGAAAACCAAGGCUGAGGCGUGAUGACGAGGCACUACGGUGCUGAAGCGACAAAUGCCCUGCUUCCAGGAAAAGCCUCUAAGCAUCAGGUAACAUCAAAUCGUACCCCAAACCGACACAGGUGGUCAGGUAGAGAAUACCAAGGCGCUUGAGAGAACUCGGGUGAAGGAACUAGGCAAAAUGGUGCCGUAACUUCGGGAGAAGGCACGCUGAUAUGUAGGUGAAGCGACUUGCUCGUGGAGCUGAAAUUAGUCGAAGAUACCAGCUGGCUGCAACUGUUUAUUAAAAACACAGCACUGUGCAAACACGAAAGUGGACGUAUACGGUGUGACGCCUGCCCGGUGCCGGAAGGUUAAUUGAUGGGGUUAGCGGUAACGCGAAGCUCUUGAUCGAAGCCCCGGUAAACGGCGGCCGUAACUAUAACGGUCCUAAGGUAGCGAAAUUCCUUGUCGGGUAAGUUCCGACCUGCACGAAUGGCGUAAUGAUGGCCAGGCUGUCUCCACCCGAGACUCAGUGAAAUUGAACUCGCUGUGAAGAUGCAGUGUACCCGCGGCAAGACGGAAAGACCCCGUGAACCUUUACUAUAGCUUGACACUGAACAUUGAGCCUUGAUGUGUAGGAUAGGUGGGAGGCUUUGAAGUGUGGACGCCAGUCUGCAUGGAGCCGACCUUGAAAUACCACCCUUUAAUGUUUGAUGUUCUAACGUUGGCCCGUAAUCCGGGUUGCGGACAGUGUCUGGUGGGUAGUUUGACUGGGGCGGUCUCCUCCUAAAGAGUAACGGAGGAGCACGAAGGUUGGCUAAUCCUGGUCGGACAUCAGGAGGUUAGUGCAAUGGCAUAAGCCAGCUUGACUGCGAGCGUGACGGCGCGAGCAGGUGCGAAAGCAGGUCAUAGUGAUCCGGUGGUUCUGAAUGGAAGGGCCAUCGCUCAACGGAUAAAAGGUACUCCGGGGAUAACAGGCUGAUACCGCCCAAGAGUUCAUAUCGACGGCGGUGUUUGGCACCUCGAUGUCGGCUCAUCACAUCCUGGGGCUGAAGUAGGUCCCAAGGGUAUGGCUGUUCGCCAUUUAAAGUGGUACGCGAGCUGGGUUUAGAACGUCGUGAGACAGUUCGGUCCCUAUCUGCCGUGGGCGCUGGAGAACUGAGGGGGGCUGCUCCUAGUACGAGAGGACCGGAGUGGACGCAUCACUGGUGUUCGGGUUGUCAUGCCAAUGGCACUGCCCGGUAGCUAAAUGCGGAAGAGAUAAGUGCUGAAAGCAUCUAAGCACGAAACUUGCCCCGAGAUGAGUUCUCCCUGACUCCUUGAGAGUCCUGAAGGAACGUUGAAGACGACGACGUUGAUAGGCCGGGUGUGUAAGCGCAGCGAUGCGUUGAGCUAACCGGUACUAAUGAACCGUGAGGCUUAACCUU
RNAcentral lists this ribosomal RNA (2549 nucleotides) under Escherichia coli. RNAcentral describes it as "bacterial LSU rRNA". It matches the Rfam family "Bacterial large subunit ribosomal RNA", at positions 396 to 2925 of the family's 2925-position model. The record is from RNAcentral. Lineage: Bacteria; Pseudomonadati; Pseudomonadota; Gammaproteobacteria; Enterobacterales; Enterobacteriaceae.